CAGUAGCCGCGGGAAAACGUAGGGGGCAAGCGUUAUCCGGAAUAACUGGGCGUAAAGGGUGCGCAGGUGGUUUAACAAGUUAGUGGUGAAAGGCAUAGGCUCAACCAAUGUAAGCCAUUAAAACUGUUUAACUUGAGUGCAGGAGAGGAAAGUGGAAUUCCUAGUGUAGCGGUGAAAUGCGUAGAUAUUAGGAGAAAUACCAGUGGCGAAGGCGACUUUCUGGACUGCAACUGACGCUGAGGCACGAAAGCGUGGGGAGCAAACAGGAUUAGAUACCCCUGUAGUCCCUGUCUCUUAUACA
Molecule: ribosomal RNA, 301 nt
Filed under: uncultured bacterium
Lineage: Bacteria
Description: partial 16S ribosomal RNA
Rfam family: Bacterial small subunit ribosomal RNA
Source: RNAcentral